AUUGAACGCUGGCGGCAGGCCUAACACAUGCAAGUCGAGCGGACCGGCGGUCUGGUGUGUACUGCCUAGGCAUCUGCCUGGUAGUGGGGGCUAACGUCCGGAAACGGGCGCUAAUACCGCAUACUAUCAGAUGAGCCUAGGGCGGAUUAGCUAGUUGGUGGGGUAAUGGCCUACUAAGGCGACGAUCCCUAGCUGGUCUGAGAGGAUGAUCAGCAACACUGGGACUGAGACACGGCCAAGACUCCUACGGGAGGCAGAAGUGGGGAAUAUUGCACAAUGGGCGCAAGCCUGAUGCAGCCAUGCCGCGUGUAUGAAGAAGGCCUUCGGGUUGUAAAGUACUUUCAGUCGGGAGGCGUUACCGACAGAAGAAGCACCGGCUAACUCCGUGCCAGCAGCCGCGGUAAUAC
Molecule: ribosomal RNA, 407 nt
Filed under: uncultured bacterium
Lineage: Bacteria
Description: partial 16S ribosomal RNA
Rfam family: Bacterial small subunit ribosomal RNA
Source: RNAcentral